CAUGGAGUAGCUCAGUUGGUAGAGCGCCCGUUUCCAAAUCGGAGGGUCGCGGGAUCGAUUCCCGCCUCCAUGG
Molecule: transfer RNA, 73 nt
Filed under: Nocardia bovistercoris
Lineage: Bacteria; Bacillati; Actinomycetota; Actinomycetes; Mycobacteriales; Nocardiaceae
Rfam family: tRNA
About the family: Transfer RNA (tRNA) molecules are approximately 80 nucleotides in length. Their secondary structure includes four short double-helical elements and three loops (D, anti-codon, and T loops).
Source: Rfam by way of RNAcentral